This 610-nucleotide ribosomal RNA is filed under the name Pectinodesmus sp. PHEM3. RNAcentral describes it as "eukaryotic LSU rRNA". The stretch from base 230 to 383 matches the Rfam family "5.8S ribosomal RNA". Lineage: Eukaryota; Viridiplantae; Chlorophyta; Chlorophyceae; Sphaeropleales; Scenedesmaceae. The record is from RNAcentral.
GACCUGCGGAAGGAUCAUUGAAUUAUUAAAACCACAAUGUGAACCUAUCUGUUCCGUGCCUUAGCUGCCAGCAGGGCAAUCGGGCUUUGUCCGAUUGUGCUUGCAAGCUGGUGCGAGUAUUAUUACUUGCAUCAGUGGCGCUUUGGCAUGCUUAUACACCAGUGCUACCACUGUCAAAACCAAACUCUGAAGCUUUGAUUGCUGUUAAUUGGCAAUCUUAACCAAAGACAACUCUCAACAACGGAUAUCUUGGCUCUCGCAACGAUGAAGAACGCAGCGAAAUGCGAUACGUAGUGUGAAUUGCAGAAUUCCGUGAACCAUCGAAUCUUUGAACGCAUAUUGCGCUCGAGCCCUCGGGCAAGAGCAUGUCUGCCUCAGCGUCGGUUUAUACCCUCACCCCUCUCUCCUUUUGGAGGGCUGGUCAGCUCUCAGUUGGCCUCAGGGGUGGAUCUGGCUUUCCCAAUUGGUUCACUCCGAUUGGGUUGGCUGAAGCUUAGAGGCUUAAGCAAGGACCCGAUAUGGGCUUCAACUGGAUAGGUAGCACCGGCUUCUGCCGACUACACGAAGUUGUGGCUUGUGGACUUUGCUAGAGGCCAAGCAGGAAACAUGC